AUACGGAGGGUGCAAGCGUUGUUCGGAAUUAUUGGGCGUAAAGAGCAUGUAGGCGGACUGUUAAGUCUGGUGUGAAAGCCCGGGGCUCAACCCCGGAAGUGCAUUGGAUACUGGCAGUCUUGAGUAUGGGAGAGGAAAGUGGAAUUCCGAGUGUAGGAGUGAAAUCCGUAGAUAUUCGGAGGAACACCAGUGGCGAAGGCGGCUUUCUGGACCAAUACUGACGCUGAGAUGCGAAAGCGUGGGGAGCGAACAGGAUUAGAAACCCCUGUAGUCC
Molecule: ribosomal RNA, 274 nt
Filed under: uncultured bacterium
Lineage: Bacteria
Description: partial 16S ribosomal RNA
Rfam family: Bacterial small subunit ribosomal RNA
Source: RNAcentral